This 298-nucleotide long non-coding RNA is filed under the name Hordeum vulgare. RNAcentral's name for it is "long non-coding RNA (HVUL_LNC019453)". Lineage: Eukaryota; Viridiplantae; Streptophyta; Magnoliopsida; Poales; Poaceae. The record is from RNAcentral.
AAAUAUAUAAUACAUAAUAUGUGCCCAAUAGUUUUACUGAUCCACAACACAUAACAUAUAUGCAAAGUUGCACAACAAAUUUCAUGAUCCAUAUAUCAAAAUUCCAUAGCAUCCAUACAUCCAAAAUUCCAUAGCAUACAUAUAUACAUAUAGUUCCAUAACAUCCAUACAUACAUAGCUCCAUAGAAAAUAUAAUACACAACGAUACUUUGCAGGCAUUAGUAAGUAAUAUUUGGCACUAAAACAAAUGCCUUCAUGUCCAUAUCGUAGUCCAAACAGCAUCCGCGUGGCAACCUAC